RNAcentral lists this transfer RNA (90 nucleotides) under Xylaria intraflava. RNAcentral describes it as "tRNA-Phe". It matches the Rfam family "tRNA". Rfam says of the family: Transfer RNA (tRNA) molecules are approximately 80 nucleotides in length. Their secondary structure includes four short double-helical elements and three loops (D, anti-codon, and T loops). The record is from RNAcentral. Lineage: Eukaryota; Fungi; Ascomycota; Sordariomycetes; Xylariales; Xylariaceae.
GCGGGGAUAGCUCAGUUGGGAGAGCGUCAGACUGAAGUGACACUUCAUUCGUUUAUCUGAAGGUCGUGUGUUCGAUCCACACUCACCGCA